UUAGGAAUCUUCCACAAUGGGCGAAAGCCUGAUGGAGCGACGCCGCGUGAGGGAUGAAGGCCCUAGGGUUGUAAACCUCUAAAAGGGGGACGAUAAUGACGGUACCCCUUGAAAAGCACCGGCUAACUCCGUGCCAGCAGCCGCGGUAAUACGGAGGGUGCAAGCGUUAUCCGGAAUCACUGGGCGUAAAGGGCGCGUAGGCGGUCUGUUAAGUCCGAUGUUAAAUCCCGGGGCUCAACCCCGGAUCAGCGUUGGAUACUGGCAGGCUCGACGGUUGGAGAGGCGAGUGGAAUUACCAGUGUAGCGGUGGAAUGCGUAGAUACUGGUAGGAACACCCAUUGCGAAGGCAGCUCGCUGGACAACACGUGACGCUGAGGCGCGAAAGUGUGGGGAGCAAACCG
This 401-nucleotide ribosomal RNA is filed under the name uncultured bacterium. RNAcentral's name for it is "bacterial SSU rRNA". It matches the Rfam family "Bacterial small subunit ribosomal RNA", at positions 355 to 775 of the family's 1533-position model. The record is from RNAcentral. RNAcentral also lists the same sequence under 1 other name.